UGACAUUUACCGCGCCCUGUUGUCCUCUGUCGUUUUGGCGGGGAAUUUCGUGCAAAUCGAAAACAGUCGCGCUGCGGUAAGAGGGGACAAAGCUUCUUCAUGCUGUUCUGAAGAGCGGCAUGCGACAGCCAGUCGCAUAUGCGGUGAAGGCGAAGCCAAGGCGCGGGCCAUAUGGCCCCACAGCCCUCAAGUCCGAACAUCCGCCGGGGCCGGUGCCCCUUG
Molecule: non-coding RNA, 222 nt
Filed under: Desulfovibrio desulfuricans
Lineage: Bacteria; Pseudomonadati; Thermodesulfobacteriota; Desulfovibrionia; Desulfovibrionales; Desulfovibrionaceae
Source: RNAcentral